UGCAGACUAGCAGACUGUAGUCUCACCAUAGUACACUGUGAAACUCUCUGCUCUGCUCUGAAAUCAGAAAACUCCUUCCUGAUAGAGCUGGACCUCAAAAAAAAAAACCUGCAGGAUUCAGGAGUGGAGCUGCUCUCAGCUGGACUGAAAGGUUCACACUGUAAACUGCAGACACUCAGACUGCCAUUCUGUCAUCUUGGUGAAAAGACGUGUGAAACUUUGGGAUCAGUUGAAAAACUCCUCCCUGAAAGAUCUGGACCUCAGUAACAAUGAUCUGCAGGACUUAGGAGUGGAGCUGCUCUCUGCUGGACUAAAGAGUUCACACUGUAAACUGCAGACACUUGGAUUAAUAUAUGGUUGUAUGAUCACAGAAGAAGGCUGUGUUUCUCUGGCUACUGCACUGAAUUCAAACCCCUCCCACCGGAAAGAACUGGAUCUGACCUACAACCAUCCAGGAGAUUCAGGAGUAAAGCUGCUCUCUGCUAGACUGCAGGAUCCACACUGCACACUCAACACACUCAGGGUGGAACAUGGAGGGAAAAUCAGAAUCAAACCAAAGAAAUCAAAGAAAUAUGGCUGUGAUUUUACACUGGAUCCAAACACAGUACACCCUAGUCUAGGGUGACCUAGUGAGGACACCCUAGUUAGGACAACAGGACGGUGAUGAGAGGAGAGAAGCUGCAGUCGUAUCCUGAUCAUCCAGAGAGAUUUGAUAAGUGGGAGCAGGUUCUGAGUAGAGAGAGUGUUACUGGGCGCUGUUACUGGGAGGCUGAGUGGAGCGGCAGAGGAGUUUUUGUAUCUGUAAGUUAUAAAACCAUCAGCAGGACAGGAGAAGAAUCAAACUGUCGGUUUGGAGGAAAUAUAAACUCCUGGUGUCUGAGCUGCUCUGAUUACAGUUACUCUGUUCAUCACAAUCUGAACUACACUAAACUCCGCCCUCCUCCCUCUGGCUGUAGGAAAAUAGGAGUGUAUGUGGACUGUCCUGCCGGCAUUCUGUCCUUCUACGGCGUCUCCUCUAAUACACACACACUUAUACACAUUCAGCACCACCUUUACUCAGCCCCUCUAUGCAUGAUUCACUAUUCAUGAAGACUCCUCAGUGUCUGUGUGUGAGAUAGAUUAACCUUCCCUCUGUUUGUGAGCGUGAGUAUGAGAGAGUAUGAGUAAGUAGGACUGUAAGUGUGAGUAUGAGUGUAGUGAUGUCAGGGCCCUGGUCAUAUCACCACCUACUCAAAACACUUGAGAACAUAAAACACAGACAUUGAUAAGAUUGACAUAGUACUUACCUGGUUCCUGAAGGAAUGGCAGCGCACGAGCCACCAAGGUUCUUAAGGACUUGGUAGAGAACAAGGGUCUGAAAAAAAGAGGAAAACAAUGUAAAAACAUCUGAACAUUGCAUAAUAUACUUUCCUAAAAGUCCAAAGUGUUGCAUGCAUGUAUUCUAUUAUGUAAAUAAUUUAAAAUAACUCUUGCCCACCUGCUUGCAAUGUAAUUAUCUAAUGGUUUAAUAUGGGGUGAGCUAUUUGAGUAUUUAAGAGCAGGUGGGCACGCUAAAGGGGGUUUCUCUAGAUUAAGCAUGACUUUAUGCCGAUAGGAAAUUGUUGGAUUGGGAGCACUUUGAGCAAGUUGCUCAAGUGUCGAGAAGGUGGUAGCUACAGUGCCACUGUAGCAGAUAGCUUGGAAAACAAUUCUUCCUCUCUCUGUCUAUUUUGCCUUUGUCUUCCUCACAGAGUUGAGGAAUGCCAAGUAAUUUCCCUUCAUCUCAAUGUGAAGAACUUCAAAAAAGUAACCGAUCAAUGGCCAAUCCAGUUUACAGCCCAUUUUUCUGGGCCAGGUUUAAAACUAACCAUAGUAUUAACACUCUAUGUCAGCAAUUGAGUUUUUCAAAACAACAAUCAUAAAAGCAUUAUGGAUAGAAUGUUUACUUCUCUUCCACCCAAUUGAGACUAGAUAAGACUCCAUAAAAGCACCAUAAAAUUUACACACACACACAAACCCUUCAAACCACAAACACUCUGUGACCCUUCAAUGAAAUUAUCAAACUGUUAGAAAUGUGAUGUGCAACUCUGUCGGAAAGGAACUUUCUUGGAGCAGUACUCUUCACAACAAUGUUUUGUAUUGCUCUUAAUUUUCCACGAAUCAAGACACAUUCCAGUGUUUUGAAGGACUUGUAAUCAAAUCGUAAUCCUAAGGCUUUUCCUUUUUAGGAUAUGCACUGAUAUGCAACUUAAUGUGUAAGGUGAUUGGGCCUUAGUGUAAUGCCACAAACUCAGGGAACAUAUCAUAAUCUUAGGAUCAACAUGCCAUUAGGGGGCACACCUCAAAUAAGAAACUGGGACACAGCAGUUUAGUGCAAUGUGUUUUCGGGAAGCAGUGUAGAUGUCACUUUUAGCUUACGGCUGUAGCUGUUUUUUUUUUUUUUUUUAGGAUUAAUGAUUUUUGUUAGUAAUCUUUACGAACAGUUAUUUUUGACUAAUUAAGUUCAGGUCAAGCUUACAACGCUGACCUCACCAAGGUCCGAGUGCAUUAGCACUAUUAGUCAACUAAGUUUUUUAUCUUUUUUUUUUAAAUACUUGUGUUAUGGAGCUUUUUCUGGUUUACU
This is a long non-coding RNA of Astyanax mexicanus (Mexican tetra), 2602 nucleotides long. RefSeq lists it as uncharacterized. Lineage: Eukaryota; Metazoa; Chordata; Actinopteri; Characiformes; Acestrorhamphidae. The record is from RefSeq and is a predicted model, not a curated record. The transcript has 5 exons.